UAAACGAUGAGUGCUAGGUGUUGGGUCCUUUCCGGGACUCAGUGCCGUAGCUAACGCAUUAAGCACUCCGCCUGGGGAGGACGACCGCAAGGUUGAAACUCAAAGGAAUUGACGGGGGCCCGCACAAGCGGUGGAGCAUGUUGUUUAAUUCGAAGCAACGCGAAGAACCUUACCAGGUCUUGACAUCCCUCUGACCGCUCUAGAGAUAGAGUUUUCCUUCGGGACAGAGGUGACAGGUGGUGCAUGGUUGUCGUCAGCUCGUGUCGUGAGAUGUUGGGUUAAGUCCCGCAACGAGCGCAACCCCUAUUGUUAGUUGCCAUCAUUCAGUUGGGCACUCUAGCGAGACUGCCGGUAAUAAACCGGAGGAAGGUGGGGAUGACGUCAAAUCAUCAUGCCCCUUAUGACCUGGGCUACACACGUGCUACAAUGGUUGGUACAACGAGUUGCGAGUCGGUGACGGCAAGCUAAUCUCUUAAAGCCAAUCUCAGUUCGGAUUGUAGGCUGCAACUCGCCUACAUGAAGUCGGAAUCGCUAGUAAUCGCGGAUCAGCACGCCGCGGUGAAUACGUUCCCGGGCCUUGUACACACCGCCCGUCACACCACGAGAGUUUGUAACACCCGAAGUCGGUGAGGUAACCUUUUAGGAGCCAGCCGCCUAAGGUGGGAUAGAUGAUUGGGGUGAAGUCGUAACAAGGUAGCCGUAUCGGAAGGUGCGGCUG
Molecule: ribosomal RNA, 718 nt
Filed under: human gut metagenome
Description: bacterial SSU rRNA
Rfam family: Bacterial small subunit ribosomal RNA
Source: RNAcentral